Equus caballus (horse) is the source of this 4210-nucleotide long non-coding RNA. NCBI's taxonomy places the organism in Eukaryota, Metazoa, Chordata, Mammalia, Perissodactyla, Equidae. The record is from Ensembl.
AUACAAAGCCUGGCCCAAUUACCUCAAUUUAACUCACCUCUGAAGGCUCUUCCUAGCUCCAGAGCUUCCCAGAAUCGACCAAGUCCUGGGUGCAACAGCGUCAGAGAUAAGAACAGUUCAAAAGACAAAAACUUCAAGGAACUUGGUCAAGGUCACAAAACCGAAUGCCUGCCACAUAAUAAGGGCUCAAUGAUAAAAAUCAUUUCUAUAAUUUGUUGACCUGUAAACAUGGUCCAGGUGCUGAAACACAUGCAUCAUCUAAAGCUCAAAACUCCCAUGAGGAACAAACUUUCUAAAAAAUUCUGCUGCUUAAUAGAAUGGACUGCCAUGUAAACAACUUGACUGAGAUUGUCAAGCAUCUGUUUCUCCUGUGGAAGGAAGUCACGUAUGAGGCUUUCAAGGUUUCUAUACUUUGGGGAAUUGACUUGGUUUCACGAAAGGAUGAAUUAGGAGUCAUACACCUGGAUUCUACUCCAAGCUCUAUCAAGUAACUGUGUGAACUUAACAACUGUUGUCACCAUAAAGGAAGUUGUGCAAGUGAGUGAUAAACCAUGACUUGGUCAAUGCUACCUACUUUUAGAGAUUGGGCAAUAAAAACUGCUUAUUAAUUUAUGUAACUCUGGAUCUACUGAUUAUUUCUGAAACAAGAAGUCAUCGUUCUUGGUUUUUUUUGAGGAAGAUUAGCCCUGAGCUAACAUCUGCUGCCAAUCCUCCUUUUUUUGCUGAGGAAGAUAGGCCCUGAGCUAACAUCCGUGACCAUCUGCCUCUACUUUAUAUGCAGGAUGCCUGCCACAGCAUAACCUCAUAAGUGGUGCAUACGUCCGCCUGGGAUUUGAACCAGCAACUUCAUAAGCAGUGGGUAGGUCCAAGCCCGGGAUUUGAACUGGCAAACCCUGGACCACCAAAGCGAAGCCCGCAAACUUAACUGCUGUGCCACCAGGCUGGCCCCUUAUCAUUCUGUUUAAUUGUAAGACUAUCUUGUAAUAUCUUUAGAAUAUGCAAUGGUCGACUCCACUCGCCCCCAUAAGAGUUCAUUCUGAUAAUCAAGUUGUUGUAUCUGGAAAACACUUACCUCAUCUUCUACGUGCUUUUUACUAUUCACCUCAAAAAGUUAGACUUCUGGAAAUCAGCUAAAUAUUUCAGUCAAAAUAAAAGGUAAAGCAGUAGAGAAAACAAGAUGGCUUACAUUCCCUCUUCUCUUUACUGAAUAAAACUGGUCCUUAAAAAAACCCACUACCCCAUAUGGUGGCAUUUUAUUAGCAGUCCAAAGCCAGUUCUGGCAAAUAUAAAAGCUUUAGAUUGGAAAGGACCGUUUAGUCAGCCUGGUUCAUGUAAAGCCAUUUUAAUAGCCCUUGAGUAGAUGAAUCAACUCUCAAUUACUGACAUAUAAGCCAGCAACAAAUAGGAAAAUGAAUAUAUUUAGUGUCUAGGCCCCAUCACUAUGAAGCAAACAGAAUUUCAGUCGACUUUGAACAGGCCUGGCUCCCUUGCUGAUCAUUACAUUAGUCAAACUCAGUGGCCUUUUCCAGAAAUACCUACAACAGUUGGCACAGGUGGCUCUAAGAGGCACUUUUUUUGGCAACUUCUAACAAUAAUUCCAAGACAAAUAGACAUUGAGAAUGUAUUCACCCUUAAACUACUCAGAGAUAACAUUUCAGUUAAUGAAUAAUAAUUCUUUAGCACUUUCCAGAGCCUUCCUGUAUUUUGGUUAUGUAAUCAUUACAAAAUCAUUACUCCAUGUCAUUAUUCAGGUAAAGUCUUCAAAAUUGUAAGUUGAAACUGAAGAGCAGAAAUGCACUUAAGAUAAUAACGUGGAAUACAUUCACUCUUUGAAUUACAAUAGACAGGCAGCUAGCUAUUUGAGGGUUUUAAUUUUCAGAAAAAAUAUAGAACAUUCUAGAAAUGUUUAUUUUCUCCUGUCUUCCAUCUCUACUCCUUCUAAGUAUGAAUGCCUGGCAAGAUGGGGCUCCAUAUUUGUUUCCUCUGUGCACUCUCUGACAGUUCGUAUCUUAUGCAUCACCACAAUUCUUAAGUGAAAGCAUAUCUGAGAUUUCAAAACAAAAGACUAUAUAACAAAGCCCUUCUUUUCUAGCUCAAUGGAAGAAAACUCUGGGUCUAAAAACCUCUCUAAGCAGGUGUUAGGCCAGAAUUAGUAGAUGUUAAGCUUCUUGAGAGCAGGGGCUAUAUCUUGUCUAUGCUUAUGGAUACCCCAGGGCCUAGUACAAUGCUUGUUAUUUUAUAAAUACUCAGAAAAUAGUUAUCAAUGGAAUGAACACGGAAAUAUCCCUGUACUUUCAUUUCAAGAGGUAGAAGAUUUGGGGGAGUGGAAAUAGCCGACCAUCACUGACUUAGCAGAAUAAAGCAAUGCUCAGAACUCAUAUGAGAGGUAGCUGCAUAUGCAGGCCAAUCUUUUACUCUGAGACAAUGUAUUAUAGUGAGAGAGAACUGCGUUAUUUUAUUUCAUGUCAGUAAACUGAGUUUUUGCACUAUUUUUUUCAUUUCUUUUGUUGUGAACUCGUGCAAAUCAUGUCAGUUCUCUGAGCCAUAGUUUUAUCACCUAUAAAAUGGGAAAAGCAAUAGCGCCCUGAGUAGCUCACAGCUUAUCCUAAGUGCCAGCUGAGUUGCUCUACAUAUGAAAUGUGACAACUUUGUCAUGACAUGCAGAGCACAGUACUGUGCAGGCUCACCCUUUCUUCAGAAAGACAGCUGUAAGUCCUGCAAGAUUCUUAAAUCAUCAAUUCAAAUAUUUUUCCUAUGAUAUGCUAAAUUAAUGCUAGAAAUUACAAAUACUGCUUUUGUAAAUUUUUUGUCAUAAAAUUUAGAACAAAAGAAGUGGCUUUUGCAAUUAUGAAGAUCAAUUCUCAAGAAAUACCAUUCUAACCAUAUUUGCAAAGAAAAAUUUUUAAUAUGGCUCUUACUAUUUAAGUAGAAACCUGGCAAAACACUAUGAGACAAUAUGACACAGCCUAAAUAAAAGACCAUUUGACUAUGUUGGUAUUUUAGGUAAAGAAUAUUUUACACCCAGAAUCCCUGCUGGAAAUGACGGAACGUACAUCUUCACAGGGAAUGCUGCUGGCAGAUGGCAUUCCACUGUCCAUCCACCUUGUUCAAGGUCAUGCCACCCUCCAGGGAAGCCCACAGCCGAUGACUGAUUGACACAGAGCCCUUUGCCCUGCCUUAGACAGCUCUGAAGGGUCACUCCAGCUUCAAAGCUCCUCAUAGUGUUAGCUGAGGCCUCCGCUGAGACUGCCUCACAGGUCAGCUCCUCCCUCAGCCCAAUCCUGCUUCCUUCCCUCCCACGGUGUGGAUCCCAAGAGAACUCCUGAAUCAACCUCCUGCAUGUGAAUCUCCAUCUCAGAAUCUGCUUCUCAUGGAGCCCAACCUGCAACAACUCUCAAAAUAAAUGUAGUAACUUUUGCAAAUAGAAACUACUGCAUAUUCCCUAGAUUGCACAAUAGUAGAACAAACAGUGUGUCUUACCUUGUUUUUCUGUAGCAUAUCAACAUCCUCAAAGCAUUUUCACAUUCCUGGUCUAGUGUGGUCUCAAUAACUAGGAAGAAGGUAGGGCAAGUCGUGUCACUCCCAUAUUAAAUAUGAGGAAUUGAAGCUCACAGAAGUUGAAUAACUUAACCAAGUUUACUUCAAUACAUACGUAGGUGGGUAGGGAAGGAGGUAGUUGGUCGUUUAGUUAGUGGCAAACUUGGAAUCUAGUUUUAAUUUUCUGAUUUGUCAACCAUGCCUUACUUGACCAUACACUGUUUUUCCUCAUGAAAACUUAAUAUAUGUUUGUGGUUUUUAUCCUGUGUAGCUAGAAUUUAAUGACUCACUUAUGGACAGUUUUAGGAGUUCAUUUUAAAAUAUCUAACAUCUCAAAACUCCUUAUGAAAUCUGUCAAUAUCCUGAAAUAUCAAGAUACUGGAAAUGGGAAUAAGUGUUCUAUGGUUAGAGACGAUUUCUUUCCAUGUUUCUUGUUGUUAAAAAUCUUGGAGUUGUUCUAUUUCCUGACUGAUCUUCACCCAUAAUAAAGUACUUGGGACACAUAGGAUGUGUUCCUCAAGUAAAAAGUGAAAACUUUUAUUUUCUCCAGUUUGUGAAAGACUUGUAUAUAUGAUUACUUGACCCCCAAGUAAUCUCGUACUUGCUAUCUUAAUCAUACAAACUCUGUCCAGUCUCUCUUUUCAUACACACACACACACACACACACACACAC